This 492-nucleotide ribosomal RNA is filed under the name uncultured bacterium. RNAcentral describes it as "partial 16S ribosomal RNA". It matches the Rfam family "Bacterial small subunit ribosomal RNA", at positions 29 to 507 of the family's 1533-position model. The record is from RNAcentral.
AGUGAACGCUGGCGGUAGGCCUAACACAUGCAAGUCGAACGGCAGCACAGUAAGAGCUUGCUCUUACGGGUGGCGAGUGGCGGACGGGUGAGGAAUACAUCGGAAUCUACUUUUUCGUGGGGGAUAACGUAGGGAAACUUACGCUAAUACCGCAUACGACCUACGGGUGAAAGCAGUGGAUCUUCAGACCUUUCGCGAUUGAAUGAGCCGAUGUCGGAUUAGCUAGUUGGCGGGGUAAAGGCCCACCAAGGCGACGAUCCGUAGCUGGUCUGAGAGGAUGAUCAGCCACACUGGAACUGAGACACGGUCCAGACUCCUACGGGAGGCAGCAGUGGGGAAUAUUGGACAAUGGGCGCAAGCCUGAUCCAGCCAUACCGCGUGGGUGAAGAAGGCCUUCGGGUUGUAAAGCCCUUUUGUUGGGAAAGAAAAGCAGCAGGUUAAUACCCCGCUGUUCUGACGGUACCCAAAGAAUAAGCACCGGCUAACUUCGUG